This 585-nucleotide ribosomal RNA is filed under the name uncultured bacterium. RNAcentral's name for it is "bacterial SSU rRNA". It matches the Rfam family "Bacterial small subunit ribosomal RNA", at positions 338 to 916 of the family's 1533-position model. The record is from RNAcentral.
CCUACGGGAGGCAGCAGUGGGGAAUUUUGGACAAUGGGCGCAAGCCUGAUCCAGCAAUGCCGCGUGAGUGAAGAAGGCCUUCGGGUUGUAAAGCUCUUUUGUCAGGGAAGAAACGGCUGAGGCUAAUAUCCUCGGCUAAUGACGGUACCUGAAGAAUAAGCACCGGCUAACUACGUGCCAGCAGCCGCGGUAAUACGUAGGGUGCAAGCGUUAAUCGGAAUUACUGGGCGUAAAGCGUGCGCAGGCGGUUUUGUAAGUCUGUCGUGAAAGCCCCGGGCUUAACCUGGGAAUUGCGAUGGAGACUGCAAGGCUUGAAUCUGGCAGAGGGGGGUAGAAUUCCACGUGUAGCAGUGAAAUGCGUAGAGAUGUGGAGGAACACCGAUGGCGAAGGCAGCCCCCUGGGUCAAGAUUGACGCUCAUGCACGAAAGCGUGGGGAGCAAACAGGAUUAGAUACCCUGGUAGUCCACGCCCUAAACGAUGUCUACUAGUUGUCGGGUCUUAAUUGACUUGGUAACGCAGCUAACGCGUGAAGUAGACCGCCUGGGGAGUACGGUCGCAAGAUUAAAACUCAAAUGAAUUGACGG